RNAcentral lists this long non-coding RNA (1020 nucleotides) under Physcomitrium patens. RNAcentral describes it as "long non-coding RNA (PPAT_LNC003295)". Lineage: Eukaryota; Viridiplantae; Streptophyta; Bryopsida; Funariales; Funariaceae. The record is from RNAcentral.
GAUAGAUGAUUACAAAAUCAUAAAAUGACUUAUGAGAGCUCUAAUUUAAUCUAUUGAAAUUAAAAAUUCAUCAAAUUAUCAAUGCAGCAAUCUAUUUUAUGUUUUUAAAUAAGAGAAGAUUAAUAGUAAUAACAUCUUACUGUUCUAUCUUCUUUUAGUUUAAACAUUGGCAUUUGACUUAUUUUCUAAAUUAAACCACAAUCAAUAAUUUUUUCAAUAUACGUAGAUUUUUUUACUCUCAAAAAUAAUUAAAUACCACAAUAUCUUAUAAAUUAAAUGAUAUAUACACUUGUUGCCUAUUGUACUAGUAUAUCAGUGUUUUAUUUGUAUCAUUUCAAAAAUUAGUAUCUAAGAACUUAGUUGGAUUAUGUCUUCAAACACUUCUUCUCUUUUAAAGAACCAACUCCAUGAAAACAAUCACAUUCUUAUUAUAAGAGAAGACAAAAGAGAAUAAAAUAAUAGCAAACAAACCAUAUAUAUUAAACUUCUCGCAAAAUAAUACUUACAAUUUGUGAAUCUAAUCAAGUAUUAUUAGAAUAUGGUCUACUUAUAUGCUUGGACUCAUGAGUAGCAAUGUAAAUACAUAUACACAUACACACACAUACACACAUAUAGUAAGAGAUUCCAUAUAUAAAGUUUAUUGUAACCAUUUUUGAUAAUUCAAUACAAAUAAUUUGUUCUAUAAUAAGACUUGGAUCAAGAAAAUUUGACAUAAAUUAUAAAUACUUAGCAACAAGAUUUGGUUGCACAUAAUCAACAAUCUCUAGUAAUGUGAAUAUCGUAGAAUAACAUGCUUUGAAAUUUGAAUCUUUCAAAUUCACUUUUUGGAUAGUAAGUCCUUCUAGAUAAAGUUACAUCAUUUUGGCAAUAGCGGCUAUAUCUUUAUAAGGUGGAAAAAAUAGAAUAAUCAUAUCUUAAUCUCUAUGAAGGCUAAUGUGACUUAGAUCAAACUAAAGAUAGCAUAGAAGUAGUAUAAACAUGAAACUUCUCUAAAUACCAUCCAUUUAUAUAUAAGAUUCU